CUAAAACUCACUUCAAUCGUUGAAGCGAAACGUGCAACCAUGGCGGUGCCGUCACGAGACUCGGAAACCACCAUCAAACUCCUAACAGAAAACAACCCUAAACCCAAAUCUAAGCAAGUAGAUUUACAAAACAAAAAAAAAUUCAAAGAGCCAAAUCGGAGAACAACAACAACUAGAAGCCUAAGUUUUCAGCUUAAAAUCAAAACCAUGGCAACAACAAUUUUAUGCAAUAAUCAUGGGGUUUGCGUUCUAUGAAGUAAUGCGAGCAAGAUGGUAACCUC
This 281-nucleotide long non-coding RNA is filed under the name Lathyrus oleraceus (garden pea). Its description in RNAcentral is "Pisum sativum (pea) long non-coding RNA (PSAT_LNC040679)". The record is from RNAcentral. Lineage: Eukaryota; Viridiplantae; Streptophyta; Magnoliopsida; Fabales; Fabaceae.